GCUUGUCUCAAAGAUUAAGCCAUGCAUGUCUUAGUGUAAAUAACUCUUAUGAAACUGCGAAUGGCUCAUUAAAUCAGUUAUCGUUUAUUUGAUGGUCCCUUACUACAUGGAUAACCGUAGUAAUUCUAGAGCUAAUACACGCAAACAAGCUCCGACUUUACGGACGAGCGCAUUUAUUAGACCAAAACCAAUCGGGCUUCGGCCUGAUCACUUGGUGACUCUGAAUAACUGAGCUGAUCGCAUGGUCUUUGUACCGGCGACGCAUCUUUCAAGUGUCUGCCUUAUCAACUUUCGAUGGUAGUUUAUGUGCCUACCAUGGUUGUUACGGGUAACGGAGAAUAAGGGUUCGACUCCGGAGAGGGAGCCUGAGAAACGGCUACCACAUCCAAGGAAGGCAGCAGG
This 402-nucleotide ribosomal RNA is filed under the name Plectus minimus. RNAcentral's name for it is "partial small subunit ribosomal RNA". It matches the Rfam family "Eukaryotic small subunit ribosomal RNA", at positions 30 to 432 of the family's 1831-position model. Lineage: Eukaryota; Metazoa; Nematoda; Chromadorea; Plectida; Plectidae. The record is from RNAcentral.